RNAcentral lists this long non-coding RNA (761 nucleotides) under Numida meleagris (helmeted guineafowl). RNAcentral describes it as "lncRNA (ENSNMEG00000004880.1)". The record is from RNAcentral. Lineage: Eukaryota; Metazoa; Chordata; Aves; Galliformes; Numididae.
ACCCCCCAAGCCUGUUUUUAGGUUCAGUAACUCCACCUGUGCUCAUGUUAGCAGCUGGGUGGGUUUGUUCCAGGCAUGCUGGGGGGCUGCAGGUUUCCCUGCUUGGCAAUCAGGGCUUCAAGAAGCCCAAGGCUUCCAACAAAACUAAAGGGCUUCUCUCUGAGAAGUGCUGUGGAGAUGGUGGUAAGGUUGCGGUGCCCAGCAAAAGGAGGGGGUGAAAGUUGAUGCUAUAGCAGCAAAAAAAGGAAAAAAAAAAAAUAUUUUCUGAGUUUGUGGAGCUGGGACAUCUAAUGAAGCCCAGGCCCUGGAAGCAGGGCUGGAGAUGUUCUGUGGAUGCACAGGGAGCAGAGGAUCUGCUGCAAGGAGGAUGGGUCCUCACUGCCAUGGAUAACCAGGUCAUUUGCUGCCUCUUACAGCAAUCAGCAAGGAACAACGGGAAGCACCAGCAAGAGCUCCCCUCCUCCCCAGGUCCUCCAGAAUGCAAGAGAAGGGACAUGUUGAGGUCGAGGCUGGAGGAGAGGGCCAAGCGUGUCACCGAGCACGAGGCACCGCUGUGCAUUUCACCCCUGCUGAAGGAAACCAUCCCCAGCGAAGCCAGUGAGGCUGUCAGCCCCAGAAGAAGUGACAAUAAGCACCAGGAGGGCGAUGAAAAGCAACAGAAACAUCUCCACCAUUUUUUUUUUCCUUCCGAUAAAGGUCAAUUGACUCCCUGCCACCUUGGAGCCCAUGACAAAAUCAAUGGUACUUCAUCCAUAAUUUGA